GAUGAACGCUGGCGGCGUGCCUAAUACAUGCAAGUCGAGCGAACAGACGAGGAGCUUGCUCCUCUGACGUUAGCGGCGGACGGGUGAGUAACACGUGGAUAACCUACCUAUAAGACUGGGAUAACUUCGGGAAACCGGAGCUAAUACCGGAUAAUAUAUUGAACCGCAUGGUUCAAUAGUGAAAGACGGUUUUGCUGUCACUUAUAGAUGGAUCCGCGCCGCAUUAGCUAGUUGGUAAGGUAACGGCUUACCAAGGCAACGAUGCGUAGCCGACCUGAGAUGGUGAUCGGCCACACUGGAACUGAGACACGGUCCAGACUCCUACGGGAGGCAGCAGUAGGGAAUCUUCCGCAAUGGGCGAAAGCUUGACGGAGCAACGCCGCGUGAGUGAUGAAGGUCUUCGGAUCGUAAAACUCUGUUAUUAGGGAAGAACAAAUGUGUAAGUAACUAUGCACGUCUUGACGGUACCUAAUCAGAAAGCCACGGCUAACUACGUG
This 497-nucleotide ribosomal RNA is filed under the name uncultured bacterium. RNAcentral's name for it is "partial 16S ribosomal RNA". It matches the Rfam family "Bacterial small subunit ribosomal RNA", at positions 28 to 507 of the family's 1533-position model. The record is from RNAcentral.